AUGGCGGCCGCCAGGAAGGUGAUCAAGUGCAAAGUGGCGGUGGCAUGGGAGGCCGGGAAGCCUACGAUCGAGGAGGUGGAGGUGGCGCCGCCACAGGCCAUGGGGGUGUGAGUCAAGAUCCUCUACACUGUCCUCUGCCACACUGACGUCUACUUCUGGGAAGCCAAGGGCCAAACUCCGGUUUUCCCUAGGAUCUUAGGCCAUGAAGCUGGAGGCAUUGUUGAGAGCGUUGGAGAGGGCGUUACUGAGCUCAUGCCGGGUGACCAUGUCCUCCCGGUUUUCACCGGCGAGUGCAAGGAGUGUGCCCACUGUAAGUCAGAGGAGAGCAACCUUUCUAACCUCCUCAGGAUCAACGUGGAUUGCCAAUCCCCUUCCAAAACCGCCUCAACCGAACAAGGCCUUAAUGGGAAACCGAUCUUGCACUUCGUUGGGACCUCCACCUUCAGUGAGUACACUGUGAUCCAUGUCGGGUGCCUCGCGAAGAUCAAACCCGAGGCACUCAUUGACAAAGUUUGUGUUCUCAGCUGUGGUAUCUCAACUGGACAUGGUGCUACCCUCAAUGUCGCGAAACCGACAAAGGGUUUGACGGUGGUCAUUUUCGGUCUUGGAGCUGUAAGCCUUGCUGCCAUGGAAGGGGCCAAGAUGGCUGGGGCAUCAAGGAUCAUUGGUGUUGAUUUGAACCCUGCAAAAUAAGAACAAGCUAAGAAAUUUUGAUGCACCGACUUUGUGAACCCAAAGGACCACGUCAAGCCCGUGCAAGAGGUGCUUGUUGAGAUGACCAAUGGCGGAGUCGACCGUGCGGUUCAGUGCACUGGCCACAUCGAUGCCAUGAUCGCCGCCUUCGAAUGUGUCCAUGAUGGGUGGUGCGUGGCGGUGCUGGUGGGCGUCCCGCACAAGGAGGCGGUGUUCAAGACCCAUCCGAUGAACUUCCUCAAUGAAAGGACCCUGAAGGGCACCUUCUUCGGCAACUACAAGCCGCGCACCGACCUCCCGGAAGUCGUCGAGAUGUACACGAGGAAGGAGCUGGAGCUGGAGAAGUUCACCACGCACAGCGUGUCCUUCUCCCAGAUCAACAAGGCGUUCGACCUCAUGCUCAAAGAGGAGGGCCUGCGCUGCGUCAUGAGGAUGGGCGAGUAG
This 1137-nucleotide ribosomal RNA is filed under the name Triticum aestivum (bread wheat). RNAcentral describes it as "partial small subunit ribosomal RNA". Lineage: Eukaryota; Viridiplantae; Streptophyta; Magnoliopsida; Poales; Poaceae. The record is from RNAcentral.